Molecule: ribosomal RNA, 278 nt
Filed under: uncultured bacterium KC227
Lineage: Bacteria; Pseudomonadati; Pseudomonadota; Gammaproteobacteria
Description: partial 16S rRNA
Rfam family: Bacterial small subunit ribosomal RNA
Source: RNAcentral
AGCCUAGGUCGGAUUAGCUAGUUGGUGAGGUAAUGGCUCACCAAGGCGACGAUCCGUAACUGGUCUGAGAGGAUGAUCAGUCACACUGGAACUGAGACACGGUCCAGACUCCUACGGGAGGCAGCAGUGGGGAAUAUUGGACAAUGGGCGAAAGCCUGAUCCAGCCAUGCCGCGUGUGUGAAGAAGGUCUUCGGAUUGUAAAGCACUUUAAGUUGGGAGGAAGGGCAGUAAAUUAAUACUUUGCUGUUUUGACGUUACCGACAGAAUAAGCACCGAUA